This 484-nucleotide ribosomal RNA is filed under the name uncultured bacterium. Its description in RNAcentral is "partial 16S ribosomal RNA". It matches the Rfam family "Bacterial small subunit ribosomal RNA", at positions 28 to 507 of the family's 1533-position model. The record is from RNAcentral.
AUUGAACGCUGGCGGCAUGCUUUACACAUGCAAGUCGAACGGCAGCGCGGGCUUCGGCCUGGCGGCGAGUGGCGAACGGGUGAGUAAUGCAUCGGAACGUGCCCAGUAGUGGGGGAUAGCCCGGCGAAAGCCGGAUUAAUACCGCAUACGACCUGAGGGUGAAAGCGGGGGACCGAAAGGCCUCGCGCUAUUGGAGCGGCCGAUGUCGGAUUAGCUAGUUGGUGGGGUAAAGGCUUACCAAGGCGACGAUCCGUAGCUGGUCUGAGAGGACGACCAGCCACACUGGGACUGAGCCACGGCCCAGACUCCUACGGGAGGCAGCAGUGGGGAAUUUUGGACAAUGGGGGCAACCCUGAUCCAGCCAUGCCGCGUGCGGGAAGAAGGCCUUCGGGUUGUAAACCGCUUUUGUUCGGGAAGAAAUCCUCUGGGCUAAUACCCCGGGGGGAUGACGGUACCGGAAGAAUAAGCACCGGCUAACUACGUG